AACGAACGCUGGCGGCAUGCCUAACACAUGCAAGUCGAACGAGACCUUCGGGUCUAGUUGCGCACGGGUGCGUAACGCGUGGGAACCUGCCCUUAGGUUCGGAAUAACUCCCCGAAAUGGGUGCUAAUACCGGAUAAUGUCUUCGGACCAAAGAUUUAUCGCCUUUGGAUGGGCCCGCGUUGGAUUAGCUAGUUGGUAGGGUAAAAGCCUACCAAGGCGACGAUCCAUAGCUGGUCUGAGAGGAUGAUCAGCCACACUGGGACUGAGACACGGCCCAGACUCCUACGGGAGGCAGCAGUGGGGAAUAUUGGACAAUGGGCGAAAGCCUGAUCCAGCAAUGCCGCGUGAGUGAUGAAGGCCUUAGGGUUGUAAAGCUCUUUUACCCGGGAUGAUAAUGACAGUACCGGGAGAAUAAGCUCCGGCUAACUCCGUG
RNAcentral lists this ribosomal RNA (433 nucleotides) under uncultured bacterium. RNAcentral describes it as "partial 16S ribosomal RNA". It matches the Rfam family "Bacterial small subunit ribosomal RNA", at positions 29 to 507 of the family's 1533-position model. The record is from RNAcentral.